AUUAAGGGAAUGGUCAAGCAGGCUUUGUUUAUAGUGUAUUCAGAAUAAUACAUGUAAUUCUUAUAUCUUGUCUGUUAGCUCUAUGACUGUGAGUUGACUCCACUGUUUUUGUGUGAUAGCACAAUCAUUUUGACAUAUAUCAACGGAGAACACUAUUUUCCUUUUUUUCUGUGUAAUGAGAUGUUUCGUUAUGUUUUGCAAAAAAAAAAGACAAGGAGAAACUGUUGUGGCUAUCGUUAUUUUGAUAUCUAAUAAGCCAGUAGCAUUAAUGCUUUAAGCAUAUUAUUCUUUGAUAAGACGAAUAGAUGUCUGGAGUGGACCCCGGUUCUUGCUUUAGGUAACCCAUACUGAGUACAUGAUAUAUGCCUGCACUUCAAAUAUGUCAAAAUUGUUCAAUCAUUUUUCUUUUCCGUUUUUUAGGUGUUUCGUGGACUUUUUACCUACUCUUCAUCUGAACCUUUUUACUGCAGGUUUUUUACAAAUUGAAAAAAAAAAUGUUCCCCUACACUUGAUCUGAACUUUUUACCCAGUGAGUUAUGAUGCUUGACCAUUUAAAAAUUCUUGAUUUUAAUCCAUAACAUUCAUAGAGUCAAAAGCCAUUCAUAGAGUGUGGCAAACUUUCUCUGGACUGUUCCCCAUUUCCUUUCCUUGAAGUAAAAGGUAUUUGCUUUUCUAUCAGCCAUUAUCAUUGGCACUGAGGACUCCAUCCGUCUUUUCUUGUCAGCCAUUAUCCUAAGCAUACACCUUCAAUAGAAGCCAUACGCAAAUCAGCAUAAUGCAUAUUCUUCCACUGAGGGUGCCUUGUAAAAAAUGUCUUUUUGGUGUUAGUUGAGCUACAUAAAAGUAAUCUUUGGAGUGUCUGUAUCGAAAACUAGGAUUACUUGCGCUCUUAUGCAGUGCAUAUCUGAUUUACCAAUGGUACCUCUGAUAACAUUUCUGCAGUGUUUUAGAUAGCACAUAUCAAAAGUGGGAAUGCUGAAGUUUUUUUUUUAAAAAAAACAUAAGGUAACAGAUAGCAGUGAUAUUGCUAGCAGAACAUGCUCUGCAAUAUUUCAAAAAUACAUAUAUCAACUAUGUAAUAAAUCAGCUGACGUAAUUUAAUCAGCUUUCAUGGUUGCCUAUUUUUGUGCAUUUCAUAGUUCGUUGACUGUGAAUUCCAAAUGGAAUACAGCUAAGACAUGUAAUAACUGAAUCAUAUCAAGGUGUAACUAAGUUCCGCUGCACAGUACUGUACGCUGUAGGUAAGUUGCCAGAUACAGUGGCUGCCCAAGUAGUGGUUGCUGCACUAGCAGUCUAUUGGGAAGAAGAAAAAAACAGGUCUAUUUUGGAUUUUUGAUUAUUUGUUUUUUGAAGUGUGAAUCCUUUUCUUGGUCCAGUAGUGUUGCAUCAUCAGAACUGAGCAUGAUUUACCAUACAACAUAUGCCAUCUUUGUUGCAUUUCUGGCAUCUUGGUUGAUUGAUAAGUGAGUGAGAUGAAUGAUAGAUAGAUCUUUUUAAGCUCCUGGGCCAUCAUUCUAUCACUCAUUACUCUCUUUUGUACAUCAUUUAUGUAUGCAUGGAGAAGAAAGAUGUGAAAUGACAGGUUUCUAGACAGUAGGGCCCCUGAGGAGUUCUUUAUCCUUAAGACCUAACUUCUCCAUUGCCAUGGAAUUAGUUGUUUUGAUCUUGAAAGGUUCCCUAGCUCAGCAUGAAGUUAACUACCAUUUCCCUGUGGAAGAAGCUUUGCUGUGGAGGCCACCAACCUGCAACCUGUGUUGCUGUCCACUUUGUGGUGGGGACGGCGUCUCACCAACUUGGUUAUAUUGGCAUCUAUCCUGCUUUUGGAAGGCUCCCCUGUACACUGAGCACCGCUCUAUUCUACUAAUGGCACCAAGAGCUCAUCUUCCUCGCUUCUCUGGACGUGUCAGGAUGUACUUACUUCAGGACUGAUCGGUCAUCAUGCGUGAGAUGAUACUUCUUUUUCACCCCUUUUCCCAUGUUCAUCAAUUGCACGACUUAAGUCAUUUUCUCAGAUACGUGCAUCUUUGGAAUCCUUUAAUUUGGACCCCCAUCAUACUAGGAAGAAGUAAAAAUUCAGCUAACCUCUGUGAUGUUGAUGCUUGUCUUCGUAUAUUCAUAUGUGAGUAUGGUACUAUGUCAGUUUAUUGACUUGUCUGAAACUUUGCACUCAUGCAGAAAAAUAAUCUUUGGAAUGCUUUAUUUUUGUUGGGAGGAUUCUUGCUGUGCAUGAUGUGCAAAAUCACAAGCCAUCAAUCAUCUUAACCAUCAACAGUCUGAAGAUAAUAAUUCUCGUCGUAUGAUGAUGGAGACCACCACAAGUUGAUGGACCAGGCAGUUCAUUCUAGAAACUUUAGUUGACAAAUAAUGUAAGUUUUCAUGAAAGAGCAUCUAGGCCCCUAAGCGGGUUUGGUGAAUUAUAUGGCAAAACGAUUAAAGGAUUAACUUGUUUGCUUAAGAUUAUGAGCGGGAAUUUAUUCUAACAUGUAUAUUAUGUUAUUGAUGAAUGGAAAAAUAUAUGGCUCA
This is a long non-coding RNA of Setaria italica (foxtail millet), 2523 nucleotides long. RefSeq lists it as uncharacterized. The record is from RefSeq and is a predicted model, not a curated record. Lineage: Eukaryota; Viridiplantae; Streptophyta; Magnoliopsida; Poales; Poaceae. The transcript is spliced from 2 exons.